This 497-nucleotide ribosomal RNA is filed under the name uncultured bacterium. RNAcentral's name for it is "partial 16S ribosomal RNA". It matches the Rfam family "Bacterial small subunit ribosomal RNA", at positions 28 to 507 of the family's 1533-position model. The record is from RNAcentral.
GAUGAACGCUGGCGGCGUGCCUAAUACAUGCAAGUCGAGCGAACAGACGAGGAGCUUGCUCCUCUGACGUUAGCGGCGGACGGGUGAGUAACACGUGGAUAACCUACCUAUAAGACUGGGAUAACUUAGGGAAACCGGAGCCAAUACCGGCUUAUAUAUUGAACCGCAUGGUUCAAUAGUGUAAGACGGUUUUGCUUCCACUUAUAGAUGGUUCCGCGCCGCAUUAGCUAGUUGGUCAGGUAACGGCUUACCAAGGCAACGAUGCGUAGCCGACCUGAGAGGGUGAUCGGCCACACUGGAACUGAGACACGGUCCAGACUCCUACGGGAGGCAGCAGUAGGGAAUCUUCCGCAAUGGGCGAAAGCCUGACGGAGCAACGCCGCGUGAGUGAUGAAGGUCUUCGGAUCGUAAAACUCUGUUAUUAGGGAAGAACAAAUGUGUAAGUAACUAUGCGCGUCUUGACGGUACCUGAACAGGAAGCCACGGCUAACUACGUG